This 168-nucleotide ribosomal RNA is filed under the name Coniophora sp. Its description in RNAcentral is "partial large subunit ribosomal RNA". It matches the Rfam family "Eukaryotic large subunit ribosomal RNA", at positions 99 to 261 of the family's 3401-position model. The record is from RNAcentral. Lineage: Eukaryota; Fungi; Basidiomycota; Agaricomycetes; Boletales; Coniophoraceae.
CGGGAACAGCUCAAAUUUUGAAUCUGGCAGUCUCUGGCUGUCCGAGUUGUAAUCUAGAGAAGUGCUUUCCGCGCUGAACCGUGUACAAGUCUCCUGGAAUGGAGCGUCAUAGAGGGUGAGAAUCCCGUCUCUGACACGGAGCUCAGUGCGUUGUGAUGCGCUCUCGAC